This 260-nucleotide long non-coding RNA is filed under the name Lathyrus oleraceus (garden pea). RNAcentral's name for it is "Pisum sativum (pea) long non-coding RNA (PSAT_LNC015045)". Lineage: Eukaryota; Viridiplantae; Streptophyta; Magnoliopsida; Fabales; Fabaceae. The record is from RNAcentral.
AUUGGUUGGAUUUGAAUUGGAUUAUGUGUGCUGCUUGUAGCAUGUUCCAUCGUGCUCCAUAACCUGAGGAGUGUUGGAUCAUCCACGUCAAUUAAUGAGGCAUGAUUCAACGCUCGGUGUUUUAUUUUAUUUUUAUUAUCUUUAUUUUAUUAUUUUUAAUUUCUUUUUCUUGUAAGUUUCAUAGUAAUUUCAUGUUUUAUCCAAAAAAAUCCCAAAAUAAUUUCUAAAAUUCUCUUUUAUUUUUCUUCAUCUAAUUUUUU